CGCCCUCUCUCAUACAAAUCGGGAAACCUCGUCGCGGAAGGUUUUCCUCUUUUCUGUCUAUAUUUUCUGUAAAAUAUCCACAUUUUACAGCACAGUUUCGGCGUCUUUUUACUCUAGCUCGUACGUCAAAUCACUGUGUGUGUUCAUGGGGUUGGAUUUUGCGUAAAAAAGGAGGUUUUAGUCGGGAAAGGUGUGACUAAAAAUAGAUCACUGCCCGAUAUACUUGUAGGGAAAUCUAGUGAGAGCUUUCCAUUCAUAAAUUACAUUCAUUUGGUGUCGGGCAGUGAAGUAAUACAGUUGGGAGAAGCGAUAUAACUAGUGAAUGUAUUAGUUCGGUGAUAAGGUUCAAGUGCUGACGGAGAUCGAUACACGGGCCCCUGCCUGAGUUCAUCUUUUGAGAAGACACCAGUUCACCGCUCAGAAGAAAAAAUGGCGACGGAGGGCGGUCUGGCGCCUGGUGGCGAUGGAGACAUGCCCGUGGGCGGACCCAAGACGCCGCAGCAGAUCGCCGCCCAGCGCCGUCUGCAGCAGACGCAGGCACAAGUUGAUGAGGUGGUUGAUAUAAUGAAAACGAACGUGGAGAAAGUGCUGGAGCGAGAUCAGAAACUCUCAGAGCUUGAUGACAGAGCAGACGCACUGCAACAGGGAGCUUCACAGUUUGAACAGCAGGCCGGCAAACUCAAAAGCAAAUUCUGGCUGCAAAACUUAAAGAUGAUGAUAAUCGCAGCUGUUAUUGGAAUCAUCAUCUUGGCCCUAAUCAUCGCCAACUUUGUGUGAACAAGUUUCGGUAACCGACGUUUAAUUUAGAAGUUACUCGUUAUAAUGUUAAUUAAUACUUAGUAUAAAACGUAUGUUGUUAUAUUUUAUAUAUAAUUACGUUAUUGGUACUAAGCCUAUCUUGGUCUGUAAACCACACGUGGAGGAUUGGGCAGAGGUAUGGAUAUAAAACAGGAGAACCAUCCCAGCUGCCGUAACAUCAAGAACGAACUUUGAAACAACUUUUAAUUUUAUUUUUCCUAGUAAUUAGUGUUGUUAAUAAAUGUCCUCUGGAUAAUAUCACAAGAAAUAUAUCCAAUGUUUUGCCUACUACGAAAAUAUCAAAAACUAUUUAUCCUAUCAAAACUUUUUGUAAAUUUCGAAAUCACGCGUCUUUGACAUGAUUUCUUUUAUAUCACUAACAAACAAUGUUUAAUGCUCUGUUUACUACGAAAUAUAGUAUUUUUAGAUGAUCUUUCUUUGUUAUAAAUUUUACCACAGAAAUUAAUAUUCGCUAUUAGAUAAGACUUAUCAAAAAUACAGUAAAUAUCUCUUGAAUCUUUUUUACUUUUUUCGAAACUAGGCUGUUUAAUACGAAUGCAACGGUAUUUUUUUUAUAUUCGGACCAAAUUUCUUGAGCAUUUUAUUUGGGGUCGUUUGAUCUUUUAUUUUUUUAACUUUUAAAUUGUUGAACUUUGAUAAUAUCUACUGUCUACCUAUACAAAUGUGUUUAUCUGCUUGUAAAUCCUACCACUUUAUAGGUGUUAUAUGAAUAGAUAUUUACACUUUAUAAAAUAUCAGUCCAUUUAUGAAAUGGACGUAUGUUUCGGCUGAUUUCUGUAUUCAAAGUUCCAAGUUAUCACGACUAUAAUAUAACUACCAUUUUGAUAGCAUAGCGUGUAUUGGGCCCAUGUUAGCACCACGGCGCGGCGGUUUAGUAAAUUAUUUACAUAUAUAUGUUUCAAUCGCUUUAUAGCUGUAAUCUAUAACCGUGAUCUAUAUUUUGAAACGAAAAUUUGUACUUAAUCAAAUUGUUGUUUGUUUAAGUAAAAUUAAAUUAGAAUAUAAUUAAGGACUUGUGCUAUCUUGCGUUUUUACAUUUAAUAAAAAAAAAUGUGUAAUCGUAACUGGCCAAUAUUUUUAAAAAUAUAUAAUCUAUCCUGUGUAACUACAGCAAAUAACGCAUUAAAUAUCUUUUUACUGUGUGUAUUAAUGUAUGUAAAAACAGCUUUGUAGUUAGAAAUUGUAAAAAUUCACACUAGGUAUUUAGAUGUUUCAAAUAAAUAGCCACUCAUUAGUUAUAUUAAUCAUUAUUGUAUUCGCGGCUCCUUUACAGUUGGUCGGGACUUGCAUACUGUGUACAUUCACCGAGAUAUCAUUGCACUGCGUGAAUGGGAACGACUAAACUAUAAUUGCCACAUUAAAAAAUACAUGACAGAAGCGACCAAGUGUAGUGGAGCCUUAACAUUUACUAUAAACAUAGAUUUAUAGAAAUUAUUGGGAGGAUUGGCCAGUAACUUACUCGAAAUUUAGAUGAAUGGGAUUUUGGGAUGAAUAUUAUCAAAUUGAGGUCGGUCCUUUAUUCGAGAUCAUGUAUCGAGACCGAUUAUUAAAAGUACGUAAGUUGCACAUCGUUAUUGUUGACAGUCUCAUUAGGGCGAGAUAUUAGAUCGUAAUUAUAAGUAUGACGUCACGAUUUUGAAACACAGUAGCUAUUUUGUUGUAUGUAUACUUAUUUUGGGUAAGGUGGUGAUGAGGAUCCAUCUCACCUAAUAAUUAUGACAAUAUUUUAUCAUAUUUUGUAGUUCGUUUUUCUAGAUUCGACUGGACAACAUUCACACAUGAUAAAGAUAAUAACAUUUCAUUGUUCAAUUACAUCUUCCUAAUUAUCUCAAAACAAGCCAAAAAUAACACUGCUAUUGUAUUAACGGUUGAAGUCCAAGUUAAAAAUAAUUUAAUAUUUAGUCUGAUUUUUAUUAUUUUAUUAUACUAUGUCUGAUCGCCUAGAAUGUUGAUACAUUUACAGACAUAGUGUAAAUAUUGUUCUUCCAAUACAACUGACAAUAAUAUUGUCAUUAUCAUUUUGUAAAAGGAAGCAUUGUUUAUUGAGUAUUGAUUGGUAUAGUAAAAACGAUGGUUUAGGGAUUACCCGGGUAAGCAAAAAUUUGUUAAGAUUACCAGUUGCGAAAUUGUAUCAUAAGAUCUAUAAAUGUCUUGACUAAAGGCACACUAUCAUCCAAUGGGAUUAUUUACGUAACUAUCAAAUUAUGGGCGUAAAAAAAAUAUCUACACAUCUGCCUACCCCUUUGGUGAUCAACCAGGAUAAUUAUGUUUUGUAAGUUGUUGAAAAUACUGUGUUUCCAGAACGUUGACAAAAAUAACAUUCACUGUAAGGUAAAAAGAUAACACACCACAAGUAUGUUAUGGGAUUUAGAUAAUAAUUUGGCUGUUACUUAUAGCGUUGUUUACAACACUAUGACGUUAGCGCAACACUAGUCUUCUUCAGUGUUGCCGCGCUAUAUUUUAAACAACAUUGUAGGUAGGUAAGCCAUAGCUAUAAGCAUUGUGGUCAUAAAAUAUAAAUUAAAAUGAAAUAAAAAUGUUGUAACUGAAA
RNA transcript from Spodoptera frugiperda (fall armyworm), 3370 nucleotides. It is a transcript of the gene named neuronal synaptobrevin, with no coding region annotated. The transcript has 8 exons. Lineage: Eukaryota; Metazoa; Arthropoda; Insecta; Lepidoptera; Noctuidae. The record is from RefSeq and is a predicted model, not a curated record.